GACGAACCACACGAACGUUAUUCGGAAUACUGGGCGUAAAGCGUGCGCAGGCGGUGAUGUAAGACAGGUGUGAAAUCCCCGGGCUUAACCUGGGAACUGCAUUGGUGACUGGCAGGCUUUGAGGUGUGGCAGAGGGGGGUGGAAUUCCGCGUGUAGCAGUGAAAUGCGUAGAGAUGCGGAGGAACACCCGAUGGCGAAGGCAGCCCCCCUGGGCUAACACUGACGCUCAGGCACGAAAGCGUGGGGAGCAAACAGG
This 256-nucleotide ribosomal RNA is filed under the name uncultured bacterium. Its description in RNAcentral is "partial 16S ribosomal RNA". It matches the Rfam family "Bacterial small subunit ribosomal RNA", at positions 524 to 776 of the family's 1533-position model. The record is from RNAcentral.